RNAcentral lists this ribosomal RNA (362 nucleotides) under uncultured fungus. Its description in RNAcentral is "eukaryotic LSU rRNA". It matches the Rfam family "Eukaryotic large subunit ribosomal RNA", at positions 40 to 398 of the family's 3401-position model. Lineage: Eukaryota; Fungi. The record is from RNAcentral.
AUAUCAAUAAGCGGAGGAAAAGAAACCAACAGGGAUUGCCUCAGUAACGGCGAGUGAAGCGGCAACAGCUCAAAUUUGAAAUCUGGCUCUUUCAGGGUCCGAGUUGUAAUUUGUAGAAGAUGCUUUGGGUGUGGCUCCGGUCUAAGUUCCUUGGAACAGGACGUCAUAGAGGGUGAGAAUCCCGUACGUGACUGGGUGCCUUCGCUCGUGUAAAGCUCUUUCGACGAGUCGAGUUGUUUGGGAAUGCAGCUCAAAAUGGGUGGUAAAUUUCAUCUAAAGCUAAAUAUUGGCCAGAGACCGAUAGCGCACAAGUAGAGUGAUCGAAAGAUGAAAAGCACUUUGGAAAGAGAGUUAAACAGUAC